UACAGAGGGUGCGAGCGUUAAUCGGAAUUACUGGGCGUAAAGCGCGCGUAGGCGGCUUUGCAAGCCGGAUGUGAAAUCCCCGGGCUUAACCUGGGAACUGCAUUCGGGACUGCAUUGCUAGAGUAUGGGAGAGGGAAGUGGAAUUUCAGGUGUAGCGGUGAAAUGCGUAGAUAUCUGAAGGAACAUCAGUGGCGAAAGCGCUCUGCUGGACUGCAACUGACACUCAGGGACGAAAGCUAGGGGAGCGAAUGGG
RNAcentral lists this ribosomal RNA (253 nucleotides) under uncultured bacterium. Its description in RNAcentral is "partial 16S ribosomal RNA". It matches the Rfam family "Bacterial small subunit ribosomal RNA", at positions 524 to 776 of the family's 1533-position model. The record is from RNAcentral.